UAAAAGUUUUAUUUUAGCUUAAAAAUUUGUUGUUAAUUUAUUUUAUAUGUAAAUUUUUGUGAGAAUAAAUAAUUAUUUUAAAAAUAAUUAUUUAUUUAUUUAAUUGCAAUAAUUAAUAUUAUUUUUUAAAGAAAUUUAGAAAUAGUUAUAUUAAAUAAUAUUGGUUAAAUUUGUGCCAGCAACCGCGGUUAUACAAAUAAUAUAAAUAAAUUUUUUUAAUUUAAGUUAAAUUGUUUAUUUAAAAAUUUAAUUAAUUUUUUAGGUGAAAUUUUAAAUUAAUAAAUUUUUUAUGUGGUUUUAUUGAGACUUUUAAAUUUUUUUUAAAAACUAGGAUUAGAUACCCUAUUAUUGAAAAAGAUAAAAAUUAAUUAAAGUAGUAUUAGUUAUGUUCUUGAAAUUUAAAAAAUUUGGCGGUAUUUUAGUCUAUUCAGAGGAAUCUGUUCUGUAAUUGAUAGUCCACAUUGUACCUUACUUAAAUUUGUUUUCAAUUUAUAUACCGUCGUUAUAAGAAUAUUUUAUAAGAAUAAUAAUUUUCAAUAAUUUAUAUUAAAAUUUAUAUCAGAUCAAGGUGUAGUUUAUGUUUAAGUAGAAAUGGAUUACAAUAAAUAUAUUUUUGGAUAAGAUUUUUAAAUAAAUUUUUGAAAUUGGAUUUGAAUGUAAAAUUAUAAAGAUUAAUAAUUUGAUUUUAGCUCUAAAAUAUGUACAUAUCGCCCGUCACUCUUAUUAUUAAGAUAAGAUAAGUCGUAACAUAGUAGAUGUACCGGAAGGUGUAUCUAGAAUGAC
RNAcentral lists this non-coding RNA (783 nucleotides) under Melanagromyza aenea. Lineage: Eukaryota; Metazoa; Arthropoda; Insecta; Diptera; Agromyzidae. The record is from RNAcentral.